GGAGUCCUUUGUCACCUGUGGUCACCGCUCCACAUUCUCUGUCCCCACCUGGCAACCUUCCUCUUCUGCUUUAUUAAUGAGUACAAGAUCCUGUCUUUUCUUACCCUGCAGAAGCUUGAGUUUGGUAAGUUGCUGUUAUUCAGUUGCUCAGUCAUGUCCGACUCUUUGUGACCCCAUGGACUGCAGCACGCCAGGUUUCCCUGUUUUUCACCAUCUCCCAGAGCUUGCUCAAACUCAUGUCCAUUGAAUCAGUGAUGCCAUCCAACCAUCUCAUCCUCUGUUGUCCCCUUCUCCUCCUGGUAAGUUAUGUUUAUGAUAACCAUGGGACUGCUGGUUAUGUCCUCUUGUCUACUUUUAGCAAAUCAAAGCUGAUUACAUGCAGCCAUACCUCAGUUAGUUUCAAAUAGAGUAAGAAGCAGCCACUCUCAAAGCUCAUGUAAGACAUCUAAUAUUUGAGAAAUUUAUUGGCAUUGGCAACCACCCUCUCAUUAAGUUCUGUUCUAAACUAAGCCAGAUCAUCAGGAAAUAAUACAAAAAUCACAUCUACUGAAUCCCUGUGAGAAUUUGGUUUAUUUAGUUAUGAUUAACCCUUGGCCUCUGUUUUAUCACAGGAUCACUCAAUGGGGCAAGAGAAAAUACAUGUACUAGAUAUUAUUCAUCUUACCAUACUAACAGUACA
Bos taurus (domestic cattle) is the source of this 679-nucleotide long non-coding RNA. NCBI's taxonomy places the organism in Eukaryota, Metazoa, Chordata, Mammalia, Artiodactyla, Bovidae. The record is from Ensembl.